CCAGACUCCUACGGGAGGCAGCAGUGAGGAAUAUUGGUCAAUGGGCGGAAGCCUGAACCAGCCAAGUCGCGUGAGGGAAGAAGGCCCUGCGGGUCGCAGACCUCUUUGGACGGGGAGCAAGGCCCGCCACGUGUGGCGGGAAGGAGAGUACCCGAAGAAAAAGCAUCGGCUAACUCCGUGCCAGCAGCCGCGGUAAUACGGAGGAUGCGAGCGUUAUCCGGAUUUAUUGGGUUUAAAGGGUGCGUAGGCGGGCUGUUACGUCGGGGGUAAAAGCCCGGGGCUCACCCCCGGCGAGCCGUUGAAACUGGCUGUCUUGAGAUGUCGAGAGGUAUGCGGAAUGCGCAGUGUAGCGGUGAAAUGCUUAGAUAUUGCGCAGAACUCCGAUUGCGAAGGCAGCAUACCGGCGGCGAUCUGACGCUGAGGCACGAAAGCGUGGGUAUCGAACAGGAUUAGAUACCCGGGUAC
RNAcentral lists this ribosomal RNA (465 nucleotides) under uncultured bacterium. Its description in RNAcentral is "bacterial SSU rRNA". It matches the Rfam family "Bacterial small subunit ribosomal RNA", at positions 331 to 793 of the family's 1533-position model. The record is from RNAcentral.